RNAcentral lists this ribosomal RNA (643 nucleotides) under [Clostridium] nexile DSM 1787. RNAcentral's name for it is "bacterial SSU rRNA". The stretch from base 98 to 643 matches the Rfam family "Bacterial small subunit ribosomal RNA", at positions 1 to 547 of the family's 1533-position model. The record is from RNAcentral. Lineage: Bacteria; Bacillati; Bacillota; Clostridia; Lachnospirales; Lachnospiraceae.
UUCUUAAAAGAGAAAAAUUCAGAACAGACAUGAAAAUGUCAACCUAAAACAGUAAAGGGAAAGAUAGCUAGCAGUUAUCUGAACCGGAACAAACACUUUUAACGAGAGUUUGAUCCUGGCUCAGGAUGAACGCUGGCGGCGUGCUUAACACAUGCAAGUCGAACGAAGCGCUUAAAUGGAUUUCUUCGGAUUGAAGUUUUUGUGACUGAGUGGCGGACGGGUGAGUAACGCGUGGGUAACCUGCCUCAUACAGGGGGAUAACAGUUAGAAAUGACUGCUAAUACCGCAUAAGCGCACAGUGCUGCAUGGCACAGUGUGAAAAACUCCGGUGGUAUGAGAUGGACCCGCGUCUGAUUAGCUAGUUGGUGGGGUAACGGCCUACCAAGGCGACGAUCAGUAGCCGGCCUGAGAGGGUGAACGGCCACAUUGGGACUGAGACACGGCCCAAACUCCUACGGGAGGCAGCAGUGGGGAAUAUUGCACAAUGGGGGAAACCCUGAUGCAGCGACGCCGCGUGAGCGAAGAAGUAUUUCGGUAUGUAAAGCUCUAUCAGCAGGGAAGAAAAUGACGGUACCUGACUAAGAAGCACCGGCUAAAUACGUGCCAGCAGCCGCGGUAAUACGUAUGGUGCAAGCGUUAUCCG